UUUCAACCUAAGAAAACAUUAACAGACACAACCCUGGAUGACUUCACAAUCACUACUGCCAGGGCGGUGCUACUCCUCUCCUCAGCCUCUACCCCACCGUUACAUCCUCCGUCCUCGGUGAUGAUGGGCGCCGUCUUUCAAACCCUAACCUAUUACCUCUCCGAGCAUCCCUCCAUUGUCACUUUCCGAUGGAGUCACACCUAAUCAUGGGGCUCAACCUGGUCAUUCCUCUUCUCCUCCAUUAUCUUAUACCUCGGGUUAUGCGCAUUUGCCCAUCUUUUCUUUUCAAUUCUUCUCUGUCGUGGCCGUGCCAUCCCUCUUGGUCCCAUCCCUG
RNAcentral lists this unclassified non-coding RNA (334 nucleotides) under Hevea brasiliensis (rubber tree). Lineage: Eukaryota; Viridiplantae; Streptophyta; Magnoliopsida; Malpighiales; Euphorbiaceae. The record is from RNAcentral.